UUAUAUGGUGGCCAUGCGUGGGGCUCCUUCGGGGGCGCCGGGGGUUCGCUGUCUUGACCGGUCUACCAACCCACGUAUGGCCGCCACCCUU
This 91-nucleotide non-coding RNA is filed under the name Pseudomonas baetica. The record is from RNAcentral. Lineage: Bacteria; Pseudomonadati; Pseudomonadota; Gammaproteobacteria; Pseudomonadales; Pseudomonadaceae.